RNAcentral lists this signal recognition particle RNA (300 nucleotides) under Aotus nancymaae (Ma's night monkey). Its description in RNAcentral is "Metazoan signal recognition particle RNA (ENSANAG00000011543.1)". It matches the Rfam family "Metazoan signal recognition particle RNA". Rfam says of the family: The signal recognition particle (SRP) is a universally conserved ribonucleoprotein. It is involved in the co-translational targeting of proteins to membranes. The eukaryotic SRP consists of a 300-nucleotide 7S RNA and six proteins: SRPs 72, 68, 54, 19, 14, and 9. Lineage: Eukaryota; Metazoa; Chordata; Mammalia; Primates; Aotidae. The record is from Rfam by way of RNAcentral.
GCUGGGCGUGGUGGCACAUGCCUGUAGUCCCAGCUACUCCAGGGGCUGAGGUGGGAGGAUUGCUUGAGCCCAGGAGUUCUAGGCUGUAGUGCACUAUGCCGAUCGGGUGUUCACACUAAGUUCGACAUCAAUAUGGUGACCUCCCAUGAGUGGGGGACCACCAGGUUGCCUAAGGAGAGGUGAACCGGCCCAGGUUGGAAAUGGAGCAGGUCAAAACUGGCAUGCUGAUCAGUAGUGGGAUCUCGCCUGUGAAUAGCCACUGCACUCCAGCCUGGGCAACAUAGUGAGACCCCCAUCUCU